RNAcentral lists this transfer RNA (72 nucleotides) under Volvox carteri f. nagariensis. It matches the Rfam family "tRNA". From Rfam's summary of the family: Transfer RNA (tRNA) molecules are approximately 80 nucleotides in length. Their secondary structure includes four short double-helical elements and three loops (D, anti-codon, and T loops). Lineage: Eukaryota; Viridiplantae; Chlorophyta; Chlorophyceae; Chlamydomonadales; Volvocaceae. The record is from Rfam by way of RNAcentral.
GGGUCUUUAGCUCAGUGGUGAUGUGCGUGCUUUGCAUGCAUGAGGCCACCACUUUAAACCUGGUAAGCUCCA